Molecule: ribosomal RNA, 254 nt
Filed under: Serratia sp. (in: enterobacteria)
Lineage: Bacteria; Pseudomonadati; Pseudomonadota; Gammaproteobacteria; Enterobacterales; Yersiniaceae
Description: Serratia sp. partial 16S ribosomal RNA
Rfam family: Bacterial small subunit ribosomal RNA
Source: RNAcentral
GACGUUACUCGCAGAAUAAGCACCGGCUAACUCUGUGCCAGCAGCCGCGGUAAUACGGAGGGUGCAAGCGUUAAUCGGAAUUACUGGGCGUAAAGCGCGCGCCGGGGGUCUGUUAAGUCAGAUGUGAAAUCCCCGAGCUUAACNUGGGAAUUGCAUUUGAUACUGGCAGGCUAGAGUAUGGUAGAGGAGGGUAGAAUUCCAGGUGUAGCGGUGAAAUGCGUAGAGAUCUGGAGGAAUACCGAUGGCGAAGGCGC